UACGUAGGGCGCAAGCGUUUAUCCGGAAUUAUUGGGCGUAAAGAGCUCGUAGGCGGUUUGUCGCGUCUGCCGUGAAAGUCCGGGGGCUCAACUCCGGAUCUGCGGUGGGUACGGGGCAGACUAGAGUGCAGUAGGGGGAGACUGGAAUUCCUGGUGUAGCGGUGAAAUGCGCAGAUAUCAGGAGGAACACCGAUGGCGAAGGCAGAUCUCUGGGCCAUUACUGACGCUGAGGAGCGAAAAGCAUGGGGGAGCGAACAGG
RNAcentral lists this ribosomal RNA (259 nucleotides) under uncultured bacterium. RNAcentral describes it as "partial 16S ribosomal RNA". It matches the Rfam family "Bacterial small subunit ribosomal RNA", at positions 524 to 776 of the family's 1533-position model. The record is from RNAcentral.